This 530-nucleotide long non-coding RNA is filed under the name Capra hircus (goat). RNAcentral describes it as "lncRNA (ENSCHIG00010008936.1)". The record is from RNAcentral. Lineage: Eukaryota; Metazoa; Chordata; Mammalia; Artiodactyla; Bovidae.
CAGGAGGAACCCCUGAUGCUUAAUUAGGUGAAAGACACUGGAAUCCUAUUGCGACCAGGGUCCUCCCUAGUCAGCAGAGGAAAGUCUGAUCAUGUGGUUUGUCCUUCCCGAACAAAUUUCUUUGUAGCCCAUGAUUUACACCACCUCCAUACAGUAAUCUCUGCCUUGUUUAUUUGCAGAGAGCUGGUGGAGAUGGAGCUGCAAUGCGUGUCCAUGGAGCAGAUUAAACACUAUCUGCCCCAACCUGCCUGAGACUGUCCUCUCCCUGGUUGGCAGUACUUGAAUGGGGGAAAAAAAUAAAAAGCAAUCCUCCUGAGCUCCCAGCAAGCAGAAGUCCCAAGAGUCAUGACCAGGAUCUCGUCGCAAAGUGGAAUUCCUCUCUAAAAAGAAAUGUAUGGCUGACCGGACUUCAUCAAUUUAGAUAUGUCUGCCCCUGGUCUGAAAUGGAAGCAGGAACACUUAUUUGUGGCACCCAGCUGACAAAAGAUAACCGGGUGACCAAGCAGAUGAAGAGCUGAACAAAGCCAACA